UGGGAGGAAACAUGAUAAGCAAUCCAUUUAAAUAAAGUUUUAAGGUUCAAGCUAACAUAUAACCUUUAUUUCCAUUGAUGUGUCUAGGCACUACUAUUACUUCCAAAAUUUCAAAUUACCGUAUUCUCAGUACAUCAAAGAAAGAAAGACUUCCACUGUCACUCCAAACACAUAUUAUGGUAAUGUUACUAGACAGAUCAUCUUAUAUACAAUUGGUAUACACGACAAAAUUGUUAUCGUAAGCUUGACCAGAUAUUCCACAGCAUUAGACUUUUGCCUCAAUGCCUAAAGAACAGGUCCUUCCCUACACUUACCAAUAAAUGCAUCAGUAAAUAAAUUUAACCUAAUAACAACUAUAUAUAUAUAUAUAACUGACAAGCAAGCAGUUCCCUGUUCCUAUUCCUAAACAAUUUCCUAAUUCCAUGUCAAUUACUUGGAAAUUUCAAAUUGGAAAAUAGUAAGCAACAAAGUUAUCUCUGCCAAUACCACAAAAAAAAAAAAAAAACAAACAUACACCAUAUUGACAAUAAAGUACUUCAACUUGUACUACUCAUUCAAAAAUAUAAUCUUGAACUGUAUGAUCAUGCCAUUCAGGUAAAACUUAAGAGGGCAUUGCUUGCAAUAGCUUGUCAUAGUUCUAUCAAAGAGCAGAAUACAUUACACAUUGGCAGUUUGUUUAAAUGUAUUUAUUGAAAUAAGUGCUUAUUUUAAUAAACUAAGCAAUUUUCUUUUUCUUAGUGUGAUCUACUUUAAAAUAAUAAUAAUAAUUUUCUGCUUAUUUUAAAAGAACACUUAUUAUAAAGUUAUUAUUUUAAGUUUAAACAAACCCACCAUCACCUUAUGCGGCCUGAGGAUACCCAUAUCCCAAAUGAAAAGAUAGAGUCUCUUUUACACCAGAACCCAAAUCACCAUAGCAAAAUCUCACCAUGCUUAUUUAAUGCCAGGAAAGGGUAACAUUUUGAUCCAAAACAAAUUCAAUAGCAUACAACAUUAACUUAAAAAACAAUCCUUUUUUAUUCUACAACUCCCUUGCAAGGGAUAAGGUGAAAAAAUUGCAUUACAUGACCUUACAACGCGGGUGGCCCGAAGAAUGUCACGGUAGAGACUCAGCGCUUCGCGGCGAGUGCUGGUGAGUUGCCUCCGAUUCUCCAACUCGUUUUCGUUGUUGUUUUUAACGAGAUGCCUCUUGAGAAGCUCCUCUACGGUAUCAGGGCCCUCGUGCAAUAGACGCAGCUGCUGACUCGGGCUAUCAAUACAAUUCCAAACGCAUCGCCAUUUUUGCAGCCUUCCCCUCAUUUCUCUUCUUUCACGCUCCCUCAGGCCACUCUAUUUUAUUUAUUC
This 1341-nucleotide long non-coding RNA is filed under the name Glycine max (soybean). RNAcentral's name for it is "long non-coding RNA (GMAX_LNC003299)". Lineage: Eukaryota; Viridiplantae; Streptophyta; Magnoliopsida; Fabales; Fabaceae. The record is from RNAcentral.